This 272-nucleotide ribosomal RNA is filed under the name uncultured soil bacterium. RNAcentral describes it as "partial 16S ribosomal RNA". It matches the Rfam family "Bacterial small subunit ribosomal RNA", at positions 26 to 320 of the family's 1533-position model. The record is from RNAcentral.
AGAACGAACGCUGGCGGCAGGCUUAACACAUGCAAGUCGAACGGUUGUAGCAAUACAGCAGUGGCAGACGGGUGAGUAACACGUGGGAACCUUCCUAGGGGUACGGAACAACUCAGGGAAACUUGAGCUAAUACCGUAUACGUCCGUAAGGAGAAAGAUUCAUCGCCCCUAGACGGGCCCGCGUAGGAUUAGGUAGUUGGUGAGGUAACGGCUCACCAAGCCUACGAUCCUUAGCUGAUCUGAGAGGGAUGAUCACGACCACACGUGGGACU